Glycine max (soybean) is the source of this 303-nucleotide non-coding RNA. NCBI's taxonomy places the organism in Eukaryota, Viridiplantae, Streptophyta, Magnoliopsida, Fabales, Fabaceae. The record is from Rfam.
GCCGAGCUGUGUAGCGUCAGCUUGUGACCCAAGUGGGGGCAUGAAGGUGGUGGGAUAAGACUCUGGCUUAGCCAGGUUGGGUUGGUGGCUGCACCAUGCUGGCCUGCCCGUUCCAAGUUGAGAGUUGAAUCAGGUGUUCUGAGCGAAAGCACAGGGCUCUUGGUUCCUAGACGAGGGGGCACCGCGUGAGGCUGGCUUCACAGAGCAGCGAUCACCCCUGGCUCUUGACAGUGGAGGGAUUACAGGCUGCUGCUCUUCCAGCUCAUAUAGCCUGAUGAGCCUAGCUCCUGAACCAUCACUUUU